AUGGACAAGAUCCUGGGACCAACAUUUUUAAUUCUUUGGCUUCAACUAGGCUGGGUGAGUGGCCAACAGAAGGAGAAAAGUGGCCAGCAGCAGGUGAAACAAAGUCCUCAAUCUUUGAUAGUCCAGGAAGGAGAGACUUCAAUUCUGAACUGUACUUAUGAGAACAGUGCAUUUGACUACUUUCUGUGGUACCGGCAAUACCUUGGCAAAGGCCCUGAGUUAUUGAUAGCCAUACUUUCAGUUGAUAAUGAAAAAAAAGAUGGAAGAGUCACAGCAUUCUUCAGCAAAAGCGCCAAACACCUCUCCUUGCAUAUCAUGACUUCCCAGCCUGGAGACUCAGCCACCUACUUCUGUGCAGCGAGAGCACAGUGCUCUCCAGGCACCCGCAGCCCAUACCCAAACCUACAGCUGAGGCUCUAG
This is a non-coding RNA of Cynocephalus volans (Philippine flying lemur), 420 nucleotides long. The record is from the annotation of a RefSeq genome assembly. NCBI's taxonomy places the organism in Eukaryota, Metazoa, Chordata, Mammalia, Dermoptera, Cynocephalidae.